AUGCAUCGUCGAUCGGCGGACCGGCCAGGCGGCCACCCCAUCGAUCCAUCGCGAGGCCAAACCCAGCCAUGGCCUCGUCCUCCCGCACGGCCGACGUCGCCGCCAGCAGGGUGCUGUCCGAGAAGGGGGCGGCCGCAAUGGCGGAGUGCGUCGGCCUGCUUUUCGGGAAGUGGACGGCGCUGCAGCUGGCGGUGCAGAACCAGUGGGGCGGCCACGACUCGCAGGCUAAGGCCGACCGGCUCGCCUCCUCCGUCCUCUCCUGGUUCACCCGCGCCGCCGCCGCCAGAGGCGCGGGCGCACUCGACCCGGACGAGCUGGAGGAUUUGCUGUACGUCACCAUGGACGAGUCCUUCAACGCCGACAUAGAUGACGGGGGCGUCGAGGAGGGUGGUGCAGUUUCACUAAAAGAAGCUGCAAUUCCUGCCCCACGUUGAUCAGCUCCCAAGAACUCGAGUUACCAAGAACCUGAUGAUCAUGUACACACGCUGUCUGCGGCAGGACUAUUCGUACACGGAUAAGCUAAGGAAGACGGGGCUUGCAGGCAGCGCCAUUACCCAGAGCAAACAGGUAUUGCGAGGCUAUGGCAGUAGCUGCUACGAUUAUGAUAAUGAUGAUGAUGACGACGACGACGACGAUAACGAUGAUGGAGCAGGUCUAAUGGAGAUUGAGGCGCUGCACAACCCGUAACCCGCAAGCCCGUCCCUGGUGCGGGUGGAUGCACCACAACAAUAGUGAAUCGAAGAAGAAAAUAAGGCACAUGUGGAAGGUUUUCGAUCUCUCCAUGCAAAUGCGUAGCAAACUAAUAAUGCAUGGCAAAUAAUGUUCAGUUGCAUGGCGCAUUUUGAUUUGUGGAUGAGAUGGAGUCGUCGCUAUAGCAUCGUCUAGCAAUGUAAAUACUUAAUAUAAUUACUCAAAAGUAAAAUUUCAAAGCAAA
Molecule: RNA transcript, 934 nt
Organism: Zea mays
Lineage: Eukaryota; Viridiplantae; Streptophyta; Magnoliopsida; Poales; Poaceae
Exons: 5
Source: RefSeq, marked validated